AACGAACGCUGGCGGCGCGCCUAACACAUGCAAGUCGAACGAGAAGGCGUAGCAAUACGCUUGUAGAGUGGCGAACGGGUGAGUAAUACGUGGGUGACCUACCCUCGAGUGGGGAAUAACCCGCCGAAAGGCGGGCUAAUGCCGCGUACGCUUCCGUCCUCACGGGGACGGAAGGAAAGCUGUACCGUGGGUACGGCGCUCAAGGAUGGGCUCACGUCCUAUCAGCUUGUUGGUAGGGUAACGGCCACCAAGGCUACGACGGGUAGCUGGUCUGAGAGGACGAUCAGCCACACUGGCACUGCGACACGGGCCAGACUCCUACGGGAGGCAGCAGUGAGGAAUAUUGCGCAAUGGGCGAAAGCCUGACGCAGCGACGCCGCGUGGGGAUGAAGGG
RNAcentral lists this ribosomal RNA (394 nucleotides) under uncultured bacterium. Its description in RNAcentral is "bacterial SSU rRNA". It matches the Rfam family "Bacterial small subunit ribosomal RNA", at positions 29 to 415 of the family's 1533-position model. The record is from RNAcentral.